This is a long non-coding RNA of Juglans microcarpa x Juglans regia, 459 nucleotides long. RefSeq lists it as uncharacterized. NCBI's taxonomy places the organism in Eukaryota, Viridiplantae, Streptophyta, Magnoliopsida, Fagales, Juglandaceae. The record is from RefSeq and is a predicted model, not a curated record. The transcript has 3 exons.
CUCCUGGUUUGCAAUACAAAAUUCAUUGCUGUCUCAGUUGGUCUACAAUACGAAACCCGACGGUGCAUAGACGUGCUGAAUCUUCUGCAAGGUGCGGGAGCUUCCGCAACGCGUCGAUUCUGAUUUCAUCCUAGAAGCUGGGGAGAGGAGGAUCUGAGGAAAGUUGUCACUGAGAUUGGAUCCAGAGUUACUGUUGUGGAACUGGUUAAGAUUUACAAUGUCAUUAAGGAGGGAGGAAGAACUUCAAAAGAGAGAAGAAGAGAUUGGGAAGAGGGAGUUGGCACUCCACAACGAUCAAGCCUAGCGUUGUAGUCAAGAAGCCGACAUGCAGAAUGCAUGCACACUUCUUCGUGCCUAUUUUCUAAUAUCCAUAGUUAUUUAAUUGUAUUUGAUACGCACGAAGUGAAGACGACUUUGUUUUUAUGUUUGAUAGGAACUUAGAGUUUGUAAGUCGAGACU